This 67-nucleotide transfer RNA is filed under the name Pedetontinus luanchuanensis. RNAcentral's name for it is "tRNA-Leu". It matches the Rfam family "tRNA". Rfam says of the family: Transfer RNA (tRNA) molecules are approximately 80 nucleotides in length. Their secondary structure includes four short double-helical elements and three loops (D, anti-codon, and T loops). Lineage: Eukaryota; Metazoa; Arthropoda; Insecta; Archaeognatha; Machilidae. The record is from RNAcentral.
AUUAACUUGGCAGAUAAGUGCAUCGGAUUUAGAAUCCUAAAAUGUAAAGUUAUAUUUACAGUUAGUA